Molecule: ribosomal RNA, 408 nt
Filed under: uncultured fungus
Lineage: Eukaryota; Fungi
Description: eukaryotic LSU rRNA
Source: RNAcentral
AGAGUUAAACAGUACGUGAAAUUGUUGAAAGGGAAACGAUUGAAGUCAGUCGUGCCGGCGCGAAAUCAGCUUGACCGUAGGAGAUCACAGGCUGUGGCGAGCCUCAAAACCGCCACAACUUGUGCUCCCCUGUCGGCCUCGUGCACUUUCGUGUCGGCUGGUUAACAUCAAUUUCGAUCGUCAUAAAAAGGCUGGAGGGAUGUGGCUCCUUCGGGAGUGUUAUAACCUUUGGCGGAAUGUGGUGGUCGGGAUUGAGGCUUGCAACGAAUACCUUCAGGGCUGCCCCACCUGGCCUCUCGUCGGCAUCCUGGCGACGACAGCUUGCUGACGUUGUUAGGAUCAGCUUCCGAACAGGCUAGAGUGUGGGCAAAUUCGUUAAGGAUGUUAACGUAAUGGCUUUAAACGACC